Molecule: transfer RNA, 87 nt
Filed under: Caudoviricetes sp.
Lineage: Duplodnaviria; Heunggongvirae; Uroviricota; Caudoviricetes
Description: tRNA-Ser
Rfam family: tRNA
About the family: Transfer RNA (tRNA) molecules are approximately 80 nucleotides in length. Their secondary structure includes four short double-helical elements and three loops (D, anti-codon, and T loops).
Source: RNAcentral
GGAGAGAUGUCCGAGUGGUUUAUGGUGUCUGCCUUGAAAGCAGAUGAGCGGUGAAAUGCUCCGUGGGUUCAAAUCCUACUCUCUCCG